AAGGGGGGACGUAUAUCAAUGCGGUAACAACACAAAUCCACCAAAAACAGAUAUUCAUCUUGGAAAAACGUAUUUAGUCGUUUUGUUUAUAACUGUAACCUACUGCAUGCUACCUCAGUUGAUUUUGAUUUUACUGAUAUGAGCCUUAACAGGCUAAUUCAGGAAUACAUGUUCCUGAGGUAGUGAUUCAUAUUAACAAAACAAACACAUUUCAAAAACAGACAUUAUAUUACACUUAACACUUAACAAAAAAUUACAGUCAUAAUUGUGCCUCAUCAUGUUUACUUAGGCCGGGGGCUUAUGUUCAACAAUCUACACUGCAGCCGUUUGCAAGUGAAAACUGUCUAUUGUAGUCCUGUAAAGAGUUGGCUGAUAGGGUGAUCCAUCAUUUCACAGAGACCAGUUGGCAAUGUUACCACAAGAUGGAGGCAAAGCAUUGCAUUCUUUGUUUGGAUCCUUCAAUAGAACGCUAAUCAACUAAGCUUCCACUUUAAUAACACUGGCACACACACAA
This is a long non-coding RNA of Hypomesus transpacificus, 514 nucleotides long. RefSeq lists it as uncharacterized. NCBI's taxonomy places the organism in Eukaryota, Metazoa, Chordata, Actinopteri, Osmeriformes, Osmeridae. The record is from RefSeq and is a predicted model, not a curated record. The transcript is spliced from 3 exons.